GAUGAAGAACGCAGCGAAAUGCGAUACGUAAUGUGAAUUGCAGAAUUCAGUGAAUCAUCGAAUCUUUGAACGCACAUUGCACUCUCUGGUAUUCCGGAGAGUAUGCUUGUUUGAGUAUCUGUAAACAUCUCAAAUCUCUCUUCAAUUGCUUCAAUUGGGUCGAGAGAAUUGGAUUUGAGCGAUCCCGACUCCUUCGUCAGAAAGAGGAGGGCCGCUUGAAAUGCAGGUGCAGCUGGACAUUCUUCUGAGCAAAAAGCAUAUCUAUUUAGUCCCGUCAAACGGAUUAUUACUUUUGCUUCAGCUAAUAUAAAGGUUGAAUGAACUACCAACGCUGAUUGCAGGAAAACAUGUUCGUUUAUUCGGACUUGUAAACUCGAUCUCAAAUCAAGUAAGACUACCCGCUGAACUUAAGCAUAUCAAUAAGCGGAGGA
Molecule: unclassified non-coding RNA, 431 nt
Filed under: soil metagenome
Description: partial contains 5.8S ribosomal RNA, internal transcribed spacer 2, and large subunit ribosomal RNA
Rfam family: 5.8S ribosomal RNA (bases 1-120)
Source: RNAcentral